AGUCGACGAUGAAUCUUCUAGCUUGCUAGAAGUGGAUUAGUGGCGCACGCGUGAGUAAUGCAUAGGUUAUGUGCCCUUUAGUCUGGGAUAGCCACUGGAAACGGUGAUUAAUACUGGAUACUCCCUACGGGGGAAAGUUUUUCGCUAAAGGAUCAGCCUAUGUCCUAUCAGCUUGUUGGUGAGGUAAUGGCUCACCAAGGCUAUGACGGGUAUCCGGCCUGAGAGGGUGAUCGGACACACUGGAACUGAGACACGGUCCAGACUCCUACGGGAGGCAGCAGUAGGGAAUAUUGCUCAAUGGGGGAAACCCUGAAGCAGCAACGCCGCGUGGAGGAUGAAGGUUUUAGGAUUGUAAACUCCUUUUGUUAGAGAAGAUUAUGACGGUAUCUAACGAAUAAGCACCGGCUAACUCCGUGCCAGCAGCCGCGGUAAUACGGAGGGUGCAAGCGUUACUCGGAAUCACUGGGCGUAAAGAGUGCGUAGGCGGGGUAAUAAGUCAGAUGUGAAAUCCUGUAGCUUAACUACAGAACUGCAUUUGAAACUGUUACUCUGGAGUGUGGGAGAGGUAGGUGGAAUUCUUGGUGUAGGGGUAAAAUCCGUAGAGAUCAAGAGGAAUACUCAUUGCGAAGGCGACCUGCUGGAACAUUACUGACGCUGAUGCACGAAAGCGUGGGGAGCAAACAGGAUUAGAUACCCUGGUAGUCCACGCCCUAAACGAUGGAUGCUAGUUGUUGCCUUGCUUGUCAGGGCAGUAAUGCAGCUAACGCAUUAAGCAUCCCGCCUGGGGAGUACGGUCGCAAGAUUAGAACUCAAAGGAAUAGACGGGGACCCGCACAAGCGGUGGAGCAUGUGGUUUAAUUCGAAGAUACGCGAAGAAACUUACCUAGGCUUGACA
Molecule: ribosomal RNA, 895 nt
Filed under: uncultured bacterium
Lineage: Bacteria
Description: bacterial SSU rRNA
Rfam family: Bacterial small subunit ribosomal RNA
Source: RNAcentral